ACGCUGGCGGCGUGCCUAAUACAUGCAAGUAGAACGCUGAAGGAGGAGCUUGCUCUUCUGGAUGAGUUGCGAACGGGUGAGUAACGCGUAGGUAACCUGCCUGGUAGCGGGGGAUAACUAUUGGAAACGAUAGCUAAUACCGCAUAACAGUAAAUGUUGCAUGACAUUUACUUAAAAGGUGCAAUUGCAUCACUACCAGAUGGACCUGCGUUGUAUUAGCUAGUUGGUGGGGUAACGGCUCACCAAGGCGACGAUACAUAGCCGACCUGAGAGGGUGAUCGGCCACACUGGGACUGAGACACGGCCCAGACUCCUAAGGGAGGCAGCAGUAGGGAAUCUUAGGCAAUGGACGGAAGUCUGACCGAGCAACGCCGCGUGAGUGAAGAAGGUUUUCGGAUCGUAAAGCUCUGUUGUAAGAGAAGAACGAGUGUGAGAGUGGAAAGUUCACACUGUGACGGUAUCUUACCAGAAAGGGACGGCUAACUACGUGCCAGCAGCCGCGGUAAUACGUAGGUCCCGAGCGUUGUCCGGAUUUAUUGGGCGUAAAGCGAGCGCAGGCGGUUAGAUAAGUCUGAAGUUAAAGGCUGUGGCUUAACCAUAGUACGCUUUGGAAACUGUUUAACUUGAGUGCAAGAGGGGAGAGUGGAAUUCCAUGUGUAGCGGUGAAAUGCGUAGAUAUAUGGAGGAACACCGGUGGCGAAAGCGGCUCUCUGGCUUGUAACUGACGCUGAGGCUCGAAAGCGUGGGGAGCAAACAGGAUUAGAUACCCUGGUAGUCCACGCCGUAAACGAUGAGUGCUAGGUGUUAGACCCUUUCCGGGGUUUAGUGCCGCAGCUAACGCAUUAAGCACUCCGCCUGGGGAGUACGACCGCAAGGUUGAAACUCAAAGGAAUUGACGGGGGCCCG
This 906-nucleotide ribosomal RNA is filed under the name uncultured bacterium. Its description in RNAcentral is "bacterial SSU rRNA". It matches the Rfam family "Bacterial small subunit ribosomal RNA", at positions 33 to 923 of the family's 1533-position model. The record is from RNAcentral.